This 253-nucleotide ribosomal RNA is filed under the name uncultured bacterium. Its description in RNAcentral is "partial 16S ribosomal RNA". It matches the Rfam family "Bacterial small subunit ribosomal RNA", at positions 524 to 776 of the family's 1533-position model. The record is from RNAcentral.
UAAGUAGGUGACCAGCGUUGUCCGGAUUUACUGGGCGUAAAGAGCGCGCAGGCGGUCGUUCAAGUCGAGUGUGAAAGCCCCCGGCUCAACUGGGGAGGGUCACUCGAUACUGAUCGACUUGAAGGCAGGAGAGGGAAGCGGAAUUCCCGGUGUAGUGGUGAAAUGCGUAGAUAUCGGGAGGAACACCAGUGGCGAAGGCGGCUUCCUGGCCUGUUCUUGACGCUGAGGCGCGAAAGCUAGGGGAGCAAACGGG